GAUGAACGCUGGCGGCGUGCCUAAUACAUGCAAGUCGAGCGAACAGAUAAGGAGCUUGCUCCUUUGACGUUAGCGGCGGACGGGUGAGUAACACGUGGGUAACCUACCUAUAAGACUGGGAUAACUUCGGGAAACCGGAGCUAAUACCGGAUAACAUUUGGAACCGCAUGGUUCUAAAGUGAAAGAUGGUUUUGCUAUCACUUAUAGAUGGACCCGCGCCGUAUUAGCUAGUUGGUAAGGUAACGGCUUACCAAGGCGACGAUACGUAGCCGACCUGAGAGGGUGAUCGGCCACACUGGAACUGAGACACGGUCCAGACUCCUACGGGAGGCAGCAGUAGGGAAUCUUCCGCAAUGGGCGAAAGCCUGACGGAGCAACGCCGCGUGAGUGAUUAAGGGUUUCGGCUCGUAAAACUCUGUUAUUAGGGAAGAACAAAUGUGUAAGUAACUGUGCACGUCUUGACGGUACCUAAUCAGAAAGCCACGGCUAACUACGUG
This 497-nucleotide ribosomal RNA is filed under the name uncultured bacterium. RNAcentral's name for it is "partial 16S ribosomal RNA". It matches the Rfam family "Bacterial small subunit ribosomal RNA", at positions 28 to 507 of the family's 1533-position model. The record is from RNAcentral.